GACGAACGCUGGCGGCGUGCUUAACACAUGCAAGUCGAACGGAAAGGCCCUGCUUUUGUGGGGUGCUCGAGUGGCGAACGGGUGAGUAACACGUGAGUAACCUGCCCUUGACUUUGGGAUAACUUCAGGAAACUGGGGCUAAUACCGGAUAGGAGCUCCUGCUGCAUGGUGGGGGUUGGAAAGUUUCGGCGGUUGGGGAUGGACUCGCGGCUUAUCAGCUUGUUGGUGGGGUAGUGGCUUACCAAGGCUUUGACGGGUAGCCGGCCUGAGAGGGUGACCGGCCACAUUGGGACUGAGAUACGGCCCAGACUCCUACGGGAGGCAGCAGUGGGGAAUAUUGCACAAUGGGCGGAAGCCUGAUGCAGCAACGCCGCGUGCGGGAUGACGGCCUUCGGGUUGUAAACCGCUUUCGCCUGUGACGAAGCGUGAGUGACGGUAAUGGGUAAAGAAGCACCGGCUAACUACGUGCCAGCAGCCGCGGUGAUACGUAGGGUGCGAGCGUUGUCCGGAUUUAUUGGGCGUAAAGGGCUCGUAGGUGGUUGAUCGCGUCGGAAGUGUAAUCUUGGGGCUUAACCCUGAGCGUGCUUUCGAUACGGGUUGACUUGAGGAAGGUAGGGGAGAAUGGAAUUCCUGGUGGAGCGGUGGAAUGCGCAGAUAUCAGGGGGAACACCAGUGGCGAAGGCGGUUCUCUGGGCCUUUCCUGACGCUGAGGAGCGUAAGCGUGGGGAGCGAACAGGCUUAGAUACCCUGGUAGUCCACGCUGUAAACGGUGGGUACUAGGUGUGGGGUCCAUUCCACGGGUUCCGUGCCGUAGCUAACGCUUUAAGUACCCCGCCUGGGGAGUACGGCCGCAAGGCUAAAACUCAAAGGAAUUGACGGGGCCCCGCACAAGCGGCGGAGCAUGCGGAUUAAUUCGAUGCAACGCGUAGAACCUUACCUGGGUUUGACAUGGAUCGGGAGUGCUCAGAGAUGGGUGUGCCUCUUUUGGGGUCGGUUCACAGGUGGUGCAUGCCUGUCGUCAGCUCGUGUCGUGAGAUGUUGGGUUAAGUCCCGCAACGAGCGCAACCCUUGUUCACUGUUGCCAGCACGUUAUGGUGGGGACUCAGUGGAGACCGCCGGGGUCAACUCGGAGGAAGGUGGGGAUGACGUCAAGUCCUCAUGCCCCUUAUGUCCAGGGCUUCACGCAUGCUACAAUGGCUGGUACAGAGAGUGGCGAGCCUGUGAGGGUGAGCGAAUCUCGGAAAGCCGGUCUCAGUUCGGAUUGGGGUCUGCAACUCGACCUCAUGAAGUCGGAGUCGCUAGUAAUCGCAGAUCAGCAACGCUGCGGUGAAUACGUUCCCGGGGCU
This 1346-nucleotide ribosomal RNA is filed under the name uncultured bacterium. RNAcentral's name for it is "bacterial SSU rRNA". It matches the Rfam family "Bacterial small subunit ribosomal RNA", at positions 28 to 1381 of the family's 1533-position model. The record is from RNAcentral.